GGAAUAUUGCACAAUGGGCGAAAGCCUGAUGCAGCAACGCCGCGUGGGGGAUGACGGCCUUCGGGUUGUAAACCUCUUUUAGUAGGGAAGAAGGGCUUCGGCUUGACGGUACCUGCAGAAAAAGCACCGGCUAACUACGUGCCAGCAGCCGCGGUAAUACGUAGGGUGCAAGCGUUGUCCGGAAUUAUUGGGCGUAAAGAGCUCGUAGGCGGUUUGUCGCGUCUGCUGUGAAAACCCGAGGCUCAACCUCGGGCCUGCAGUGGGUACGGGCAGACUAGAGUGCGGUAGGGGAGAAUGGAAUUCCUGGUGUAGCGGUGGAAUGCGCAGAUAUCAGGAGGAACACCGAUGGCGAAGGCAGUUCUCUGGGCCGUUACUGACGCUGAGGAGCGAAAGCGUGGGGAGCGAACA
RNAcentral lists this ribosomal RNA (408 nucleotides) under uncultured Rathayibacter sp. Its description in RNAcentral is "bacterial SSU rRNA". It matches the Rfam family "Bacterial small subunit ribosomal RNA", at positions 358 to 774 of the family's 1533-position model. Lineage: Bacteria; Bacillati; Actinomycetota; Actinomycetes; Micrococcales; Microbacteriaceae. The record is from RNAcentral.